GGCUGGUCCAAGUGCAGUGGUGUUUACAACUAAUUGAUCACAACCAGUUACAGAUUUCUUUGUUCCUUCUCCACUUCCACUGCUUCACUUGACUAGCCUUAA
This 102-nucleotide Y RNA is filed under the name Sapajus apella (tufted capuchin). RNAcentral describes it as "Cebus apella (Tufted capuchin) Y RNA". It matches the Rfam family "Y RNA". Rfam says of the family: Y RNAs are components of the Ro ribonucleoprotein particle (Ro RNP), in association with Ro60 and La proteins. The Y RNAs and Ro60 and La proteins are well conserved, but the function of the Ro RNP is not known. In humans the RNA component can be one of four small RNAs -- hY1, hY3, hY4 and hY5. The record is from Rfam by way of RNAcentral. Lineage: Eukaryota; Metazoa; Chordata; Mammalia; Primates; Cebidae. RNAcentral also lists the same sequence under 1 other name.